This 824-nucleotide non-coding RNA is filed under the name Acropyga silvestrii. Lineage: Eukaryota; Metazoa; Arthropoda; Insecta; Hymenoptera; Formicidae. The record is from RNAcentral.
UAAUUUACCAAAAAAAUUAAUAAAUUAAUUUUUUUUAUUUAAAUUUAUUGAAUAAUUUGAGUAUAAAUAAUUAUUUAAAAUAUAAAUUAAAUAAAUUUAAAUAAUUUUUUUAAUUUAAAAUUAAUAUUUAAAUUAAUUAUUUAAAUGAAAAUUUAUUAUAGAAAAUUAAUUUAAUAUUAUUGAUUAAUAAAGUGCCAGCAAUAGCGGUUAUACUUUAAAUAAAAAUAAAUUUUUUUUAAUUAAAAUAAAUUAUUAAAAUAUUAUUAGUUUCGAAUUAAAAAAAAAAAUUUAUGGUGAAAUAUAUAUUUUAAUUUAAAUUAAUUUAAAAUUAAUAAUUUAAAAUUUAUUUAUGUAAAUAUUAUAUAAAAUUAGGAUUAGAUACCCUAUUAUUAUUAUGAUUAAUUUGAUUAAAUUAAAUAUUAAAUGUAAAUCAUUAAAGAUAAAAAAUUUGGCGGUAUUUUAUUAAUAUUAAAGGAAUUUGUUGAUUAAUUUGAUAAUCCACGAAUGGAGAGACUUAAACUUUAAAUUUUAUAUAUUGUUGUUGAAAAAUUAUAUUAUUAGAUAUUUAUUUAAAAAUUAUGACAUAAAUAAUAAUAAUUCAAAUCAAAAUGUAGACUUAGUUAAGAUUUUUAAUGAAUUACAAUUAAUUUUAUUAAUGAAAAUUAAAUUUUAAUAUUUAGUAGAAAUUGAAUUUAAAUGUAAAUUUAUAAAAAUUUAUAAAUUGAAUUUUAUUUAAAAUAUGUACAAAUUGCCCGUCAUUUUCAUUUUAAUUGUGAAAAAAGUCGUAACAAAGUAAGUAUACUGGAAGGUGUAGUUAGUUAAAA